AUAAUCUUUUUCCCUACAUUUUUAUAUUUUUUGUUCAGGUGUGCAGCCGAAUUUUGAAAAGAAUAUAAGUGUACCACAAGUGGGAAAAAGGUUGCGGAGCACUGAUAUUCAUCACACUU
Long non-coding RNA from Octopus sinensis (East Asian common octopus), 119 nucleotides. RefSeq lists it as uncharacterized. The record is from RefSeq and is a predicted model, not a curated record. Lineage: Eukaryota; Metazoa; Mollusca; Cephalopoda; Octopoda; Octopodidae. The transcript is spliced from 3 exons.